GGUAGACAGGACUAGGAAAAAAAUAAAGGCUAAAUUACAUAAAACCUCUCCGUCAAAAUCCGAUUUUUCACUUUCCUUCAUUGUCAUUUAAAAACCUACACUUUGCCCCUUAGUAAACUAAAAAAUGUUCACUUCGCCCCCUACCGUUAGUAAUCCAUUAGGGUUCCGUUUAUAAAAUAUUAUUAUAUAUUUUUUUAUGCCAAAAAUGCUCUCAGCCUUCUCUCCUGUGAAGUGUGAACAUGGUGAGGGGCAAAAUGGUCAUUUUAUCAUCACAGUUCACACCGUACCCUCCUGUGAACAUUUUUUAUUUUACAAGGGGGGCAAAGUGUAGGUUUUAAAUGCCAGGGGAGGAAAGUGAAAAAUCGGAUUUUGACAGAAAGGUUUUCUGUAAUUUAGCCAAAAAUAAAUAAAUAAAGGGC
This 419-nucleotide long non-coding RNA is filed under the name Ananas comosus (pineapple). RNAcentral's name for it is "long non-coding RNA (ACOM_LNC040718)". The record is from RNAcentral. Lineage: Eukaryota; Viridiplantae; Streptophyta; Magnoliopsida; Poales; Bromeliaceae.